Molecule: ribosomal RNA, 468 nt
Filed under: uncultured bacterium
Lineage: Bacteria
Description: partial 16S ribosomal RNA
Rfam family: Bacterial small subunit ribosomal RNA
Source: RNAcentral
GACGAACGCUGGCGGCGUGCUUAACACAUGCAAGUCGAGCGGAAAGGCCCUGCUUUUGUGGGGUGCUCGAGUGGCGAACGGGUGAGUAACACGUGAGUAACCUGCCCUUGACUUUGGGAUAACUUCAGGAAACUGGGGCUAAUACCGGAUAGGAGCUCCUGCUGCAUGGUGGGGGUUGGAAAGUUUCGGCGGUUGGGGAUGGACUCGCGGCUUAUCAGCUUGUUGGUGGGGUAGUGGCUUACCAAGGCUUUGACGGGUAGCCGGCCUGAGAGGGUGACCGGCCACAUUGGGACUGAGAUACGGACCAGACUCCUACGGGAGGCAGCAGUGGGGAAUAUUGCACAAUGGGCGGAAGCCUGAUGCAGCAACGCCGCGUGCGGGAUGACGGCCUUCGGGUUGUAAACCGCUUUCGCCUGUGACGAAGCGUGAGUGACGGUAAUGGGUAAAGAAGCACCGGCUAACUACGUG